RNAcentral lists this ribosomal RNA (1533 nucleotides) under Streptococcus pneumoniae. RNAcentral's name for it is "bacterial SSU rRNA". It matches the Rfam family "Bacterial small subunit ribosomal RNA". Lineage: Bacteria; Bacillati; Bacillota; Bacilli; Lactobacillales; Streptococcaceae. The record is from RNAcentral.
AGAGUUUGAUCCUGGCUCAGGACGAACGCUGGCGGCGUGCCUAAUACAUGCAAGUAGAACGCUGAAGGAGGAGCUUGCUUCUCUGGAUGAGUUGCGAACGGGUGAGUAACGCGUAGGUAACCUGCCUGGUAGCGGGGGAUAACUAUUGGAAACGAUAGCUAAUACCGCAUAAGAGUAGAUGUUGCAUGACAUUUGCUUGAAAGGUGCACUUGCAUCACUACCAGAUGGACCUGCGUUGUAUUAGCUAGUUGGUGGGGUAACGGCUCACCAAGGCGACGAUACAUAGCCGACCUGAGAGGGUGAUCGGCCACACUGGGACUGAGACACGGCCCAGACUCCUACGGGAGGCAGCAGUAGGGAAUCUUCGGCAAUGGACGGAAGUCUGACCGAGCAACGCCGCGUGAGUGAAGAAGGUUUUCGGAUCGUAAAGCUCUGUUGUAAGAGAAGAACGAGUGUGAGAGUGGAAAGUUCACACUGUGACGGUAUCUUACCAGAAAGGGACGGCUAACUACGUGCCAGCAGCCGCGGUAAUACGUAGGUCCCGAGCGUUGUCCGGAUUUAUUGGGCGUAAAGCGAGCGCAGGCGGUUAGAUAAGUCUGAAGUUAAAGGCUGUGGCUUAACCAUAGUAGGCUUUGGAAACUGUUUAACUUGAGUGCAAGAGGGGAGAGUGGAAUUCCAUGUGUAGCGGUGAAAUGCGUAGAUAUAUGGAGGAACACCGGGGCGAAAGCGGCUCUCUGGCUUGUAACUGACGCUGAGGCUCGAAAGCGUGGGGAGCAAACAGGAUUAGAUACCCUGGUAGUCCACGCUGUAAACGAUGAGUGCUAGGUGUUAGACCCUUUCCGGGGUUUAGUGCCGUAGCUAACGCAUUAAGCACUCCGCCUGGGGAGUACGACCGCAAGGUUGAAACUCAAAGGAAUUGACGGGGGCCCGCACAAGCGGUGGAGCAUGUGGUUUAAUUCGAAGCAACGCGAAGAACCUUACCAGGUCUUGACAUCCCUCUGACCGCUCUAGAGAUAGAGUUUUCCUUCGGGACAGAGGUGACAGGUGGUGCAUGGUUGUCGUCAGCUCGUGUCGUGAGAUGUUGGGUUUAGUCCCGCAACGAGCGCAACCCCUAUUGUUAGUUGCCAUCAUUUAGUUGGGCACUCUAGCGAGACUGCCGGUAAUAAACCGGAGGAAGGUGGGGAUGACGUCAAAUCAUCAUGCCCCUUAUGACCUGGGCUACACACGUGCUACAAUGGCUGGUACAACGAGUCGCAAGCCGGUGACGGCAAGCUAAUCUCUUAAAGCCAGUCUCAGUUCGGAUUGUAGGCUGCAACUCGCCUACAUGAAGUCGGAAUCGCUAGUAAUCGCGGAUCAGCACGCCGCGGUGAAUACGUUCCCGGGCCUUGUACACACCGCCCGUCACACCACGAGAGUUUGUAACACCCGAAGUCGGUGAGGUAACCGUAAGGAGCCAGCCGCCUAAGGUGGGAUAGAUGAUUGGGGUGAAGUCGUAACAAGGUAGCCGUAUCGGAAGGUGCGGCUGGAUCACCU